UGUGUGUGUGUGUGUGUGUGUGUGUGUGAGAGAACGUGAGUUAAAGAGGAGGGGGUGUCGAAAUGUAGUCUAGUUCAAAGACUACAAAAAUGGCUACUCCUGUGAGCUGCACAAAACUAUUUUGCCUCAAGAGGGCGGUAGUGGUGCUGGGUGCAGCGCUGUGUGGCUAGAGCA
Molecule: long non-coding RNA, 174 nt
Organism: Sander lucioperca (pikeperch)
Lineage: Eukaryota; Metazoa; Chordata; Actinopteri; Perciformes; Percidae
Exons: 3
Source: RefSeq, a predicted model, not a curated record